This 443-nucleotide ribosomal RNA is filed under the name uncultured bacterium. Its description in RNAcentral is "bacterial SSU rRNA". It matches the Rfam family "Bacterial small subunit ribosomal RNA", at positions 28 to 507 of the family's 1533-position model. The record is from RNAcentral.
GAUGAACGCUAGCUACAGGCUUAACACAUGCAAGUCGAGGGGCAGCAUGGUCUUAGCUUGCUAAGGCCGAUGGCGACCGGCGCACGGGUGAGUAACACGUAUCCAACCUGACGUCUCUAGAAGACAUCUGAAAGAGAUUAAAGAUUUAUCGGUGAUGGAUGGGGAUGCGUCUGAUUAGCUUGUUGGCGGGGUAACGGCCCACCAAGGCGACGAUCAGUAGGGGUUCUGAGAGGAAGGUCCCCCACAUUGGAACUGAGACACGGUCCAAACUCCUACGGGAGGCAGCAGUGAGGAAUAUUGGUCAAUGGGCGAGAGCCUGAACCAGCCAAGUAGCGUGAAGGAUGAAGGUCCUACGGAUUGUAAACUUCUUUUAUACGGGAAUAAAGUUUCCUACGUGUAGGAUUUUGUAUGUACCGUAUGAAUAAGCAUCGGCUAACUCCGUG